UCAAGUAGCUUGGGGCCUCGCCAGAGAAUGGGCCCAAAGGGCCAUGGUAGAGGCUGCCAUUUUUGAAUGAUGGUGAUGAGCUUGUGUUUAUGUUAAUGUGGGGAGUAGUGAUUGGAAAAGAUGAGAGAUUCAAUGAACAUGGGCUGGUAUUUAUAUUGGGAUGUAGUGGUUAGUGUUCUUAUCUCAUGCAUCUGAAGCUACAAAUCUCAUUGGGUGUUGAAGAUUUUUUCAUAUCCCACUUGUCACCCAAUCCACUAAAUAGAUUAGAUUCUUCUAAGAGUUGUAUCCAACUUGAGGAUUCUAGUAGAUAUAUGUACUGAUUCUAUUGGUUAAUGUUAUUUCACGUAGGGAAAUGUCAUAAAUUAUGAAGUUACUCUUCACUGUCUUCUUUUGCCAUGGCUUGAG
Lupinus albus (white lupine) is the source of this 405-nucleotide non-coding RNA. The record is from the annotation of a GenBank genome assembly. NCBI's taxonomy places the organism in Eukaryota, Viridiplantae, Streptophyta, Magnoliopsida, Fabales, Fabaceae.